CGGGACGGGUGAGUAACGCGUGGGUAACCUGCCUUGUACUGGGGGACAACAGUUAGAAAUGACUGCUAAUACCGCAUAAGCGCACAGUAUCGCAUGAUACAGUGUGAAAAACUCCGGUGGUACAAGAUGGACCCGCGUCUGAUUAGCUGGUUGGUAAGGUAACGGCUUACCAAGGCGACGAUCAGUAGCCGACCUGAGAGGGUGACCGGCCACAUUGGGACUGAGACACGGCCCAA
Molecule: ribosomal RNA, 236 nt
Filed under: uncultured bacterium
Lineage: Bacteria
Description: partial 16S ribosomal RNA
Rfam family: Bacterial small subunit ribosomal RNA
Source: RNAcentral